CCAACGGCCCUCUUUAGGGCCACCAACUACAUUCUUGAUUUGUCUUU
Non-coding RNA from Strongyloides papillosus, 47 nucleotides. The record is from Rfam. Lineage: Eukaryota; Metazoa; Nematoda; Chromadorea; Rhabditida; Strongyloididae.